GACCUGCUUCUGGGUCGGGGUUU
RNAcentral lists this non-coding RNA (23 nucleotides) under Cricetulus griseus (Chinese hamster). Lineage: Eukaryota; Metazoa; Chordata; Mammalia; Rodentia; Cricetidae. The record is from RNAcentral.